This 375-nucleotide unclassified non-coding RNA is filed under the name uncultured fungus. RNAcentral's name for it is "partial contains small subunit ribosomal RNA, internal transcribed spacer 1, and 5.8S ribosomal RNA". The stretch from base 1 to 73 matches the Rfam family "Eukaryotic small subunit ribosomal RNA", at positions 1759 to 1831 of the family's 1831-position model. Lineage: Eukaryota; Fungi. The record is from RNAcentral.
UCAAACUUGGUCAUUUAGAGGAAGUAAAAGUCGUAACAAGGUUUCCGUAGGUGAACCUGCGGAAGGAUCAUUAAUGAAUAAACCUGGUCAAGUUGUUGCUGGUCUUCUCUUUCGAGGACAUGUGCACACUGUGACUCUUGUUUUUUUCAACCACCUGUGCACCUUUUGUAGACCUUGGAGUCUUAUGAAAUCCUUUUUUUGGUUUUGUAUUGGGGUUGUUGCGAUUUAGCUCUCCCUGUUUCUCCAUUGUCUAUGUCCCUUUACAUACCCUUCAUAUGCAAAGAAUGUAUUUUUGGGCUUUUUUUGAAGCCUAUAAAAUUUUAUACAACUUUCAACAACGGAUCUCUUGGCUCUCGCAUCGAUGAAGAACGCAGC